Molecule: ribosomal RNA, 194 nt
Filed under: uncultured bacterium
Lineage: Bacteria
Description: partial 16S ribosomal RNA
Rfam family: Bacterial small subunit ribosomal RNA
Source: RNAcentral
AUCGUACGGGAGGCAGCAGUAGGGAAUAUUGCGCAAUGGGGGAAACCCUGACGCAGCAACGCCGCGUGGAGGAUGACACUUUUCGGAGCGUAAACUCCUUUUGUUAGGGAAGAAUAAGGAGUACGUGUACUUUGAUGACGGUACCUUACGAAUAAGCAUCGGCUAACUCCGUGCCAGCAGCCGCGGUAAUCGAU